UACGUAGGUGGCAAGCGUUAUCCGGAUUUACUGGGUGUAAAGGGCGUGUAGGCGGGGAAGCAAGUCAGAUGUGAAAUUCCAGGGCUCAACCCUGGAACUGCAUUUGAAACUGUUUUUCUUGAGUGAUGGAGAGGCAGGCGGAAUUCCGUGUGUAGCGGUGAAAUGCUUAGAGAUCAUACAGAACACCGAUUGCGAAGGCAGCUUACCAAUCUAUAUCUGACGUUGAGGCACGAAAGCGUGGGGAGCAAACAGG
Molecule: ribosomal RNA, 253 nt
Filed under: uncultured bacterium
Lineage: Bacteria
Description: partial 16S ribosomal RNA
Rfam family: Bacterial small subunit ribosomal RNA
Source: RNAcentral